Molecule: non-coding RNA, 21 nt
Filed under: Caenorhabditis elegans
Lineage: Eukaryota; Metazoa; Nematoda; Chromadorea; Rhabditida; Rhabditidae
Source: RNAcentral
UCUUACUGAGAUAUGUAUUCG